ACGGGGCUGAUUAUUUACGGUACUUUUUGCAGCAGCAGAGCUCUCCGGGAUGGCAUAAGAGAGUGGCUAUUGCUACGGGAGGAGAAAACCUACAGAACGAAAGACAGAUAGCGUCGUCCCCUCGGCGAUGGCACGGCUAGAGGUGUUUUUGUUCACGGCUCUAGCUCGCAUUUCGUCUGAGAAUUCUGCUUCCUUUAUUAGCUAUUCCUGAUCCGUACUCAAACCGACACCCCCAAUUAUGGAUUGUACUGAAGUUCCACCUUCUGUAUUUUUGAGUCAAGACAAUCGAGCGAAAUAAGAGGAAACGAUCAAGGACGGCUGUGGGCUAUUAUCCAUUCCGGACUGUUCUCCAUAUAUAGACAAGAGUCGUUGAGAUGCAUGCGUGAAAGAUUUUGGUAGGCUAUUUUGUUUCAAUCCUCGGGUGCAAUAUUCAGGAUAUUCCAUUGGUUUACGCGUAAAGAACAUGGACACAAGGUGUUUUAGCUACCAGAAACUAUCCCUGUAGUUAGAAUAGAUUUCUUCGUGUUGUCAAAUUUUGCUAUUAACGGCCUGAGAUGAUAUAACUGCAGUUUAGAUGAUUGCUUUGCUCUGUUAGGAAUAAUGCGCUGCUGUAGAUAAGCCCUUUUUUAACAGCUGAUCACCUUUUAGGGUUUCAGAAAUACCCUUUUGUUAAUUUUGACAACAGAAAACUAUUUUUUAAUUUUAUUCAAAUGUAUUUCAUAUGAACGCAAGUAACCUAUUCUGAGCUGCUGUGUACAGUUGUAGGCUAUAACUUGGAAACAAAUCUCCCCACCUCACUAGCAAGGUGACAGUAGGAGUAGGGUUGCAGAGUUCUCUGUAACAGAACGACAGAACGACAAUAGUCAUGGCUCUGCCAGAUAACACCCCCAGCAUUCCAUUAGGGGAAGAAGUAAUCUUCCCUGAGAUAGUAGAGCUGAAUGUGGGUGGCCAGGUGUACAUCACUCGCUACUCAACCCUUAUCAGCGUACCAGACUCUCUCCUGUGGGAGAUGUUUAACAGGAAAUCCACCAAAGGUCUGGCGAGGGACACCAAGGGCCGUUUCUUUGUGGACCGGGAUGGUUUCUUGUUCCGGUAUAUUCUGGACUACAUGAGAGAUCAGCAGCUGGUGCUCCCAGACCACUUCCCAGAGCGGGGUCGCCUGCAGCGGGAGGCUGAGUUCUUCAUCCUACCUGAGCUCGUAAAGAUUCUGGCGCCCAAAUUCAGCAAGCAGAACUCGCUAGGCGACGAGGGGUGUCAGAGCGACCCGGAGGACUCCUCGCCGGGCAUUGAAACCGGGCGCAACCUGGCCUCGCUGGGCACUGCCGCCUGCGCCAGUCUGGUCCCCAGUGGAGACGGUAAACGCUCGGGAUUCAUCACCAUCGGUUAUCGCGGCUCUUAUACAUUGGGGCGCGACAGCCAGACCGAUGCCAAGUUCAGACGUGUUGCUCGCAUUAUGGUCUGUGGCAAGACGUCGCUGGCUAAAGAGGUGUUUGGGGAGACGCUGAACGAGAGCCGGGACCCAGACCGACCCCCAGAGCGCUACACGUCACGAUACUACCUCAAAUUCACCUUCCUGGAGCAGGCCUUUGACAGGCUGGCGGACGCCGGGUUUCACAUGGUGGCCUGUAACUCCACGGGGACCUGCGCCUUCGCUCACGAGCAGACGGACGACAAGAUCUGGACCAGCUACACUGAAUACGUGUUCUACCGUGAGUGAGACCAUCAUCAUCAUCCCUGGUCCCCGGUCCCGCUAGUGGUCCCCAGCAUCCAGCCUCCUCUACCCUUGUCUCCCUGGAUCCAGCCCUGGGUCCCCUUGCCUCCCUGGAUCCAGCCCUGGGUCCCCUUGCCUCCCUGUAUCCAGUCCUGGGCCCCCUUGCAUCCCUGGAUCCAUCAAUUAUUCCCUUGCCUCCUGGACCCCAGCCUCCAGCCCCUGCCCCCCAGCACCUGCCCCCUGGCUUGUUGGCCCCCUUAGUGCUCCCUAGCCUCCAGCCCUUGCCCCCCCCCCGCCACCAGCCCUGGAUUCCUGCUUCGAGCAGGAAUCCAGAACCAUCCUGAACCAUCGCCCCCGCACCAAGCCUCAGAGACCCAACCACAGCCCCCCUAACCAUCCUACAGAGACUGCCCCCCCACCCUCCAUGUACUGUCCUUCCUCCUGUAUAUAGUAUUUGCCUUGGUGAAGGACAAUGCUGUGUGUAAAAGAGCUUGUUUAGUCCAGUUCAGGCCCUGCCUGGUCUGUGUAUAACUAACUUUAGCAGGCUGGAGGGGCCAAUCGGAAAAGGGCCUAGAUUGAAGUACUAUUUUGUUCUGAACCUCUGCUGCUGCUUACUCCAACAGACCCUCCUACUCCUCUGAACUAAAAUGGCCAAAUAAUGUGACAUCUAAGCAGCCUAGAGGAAUGAGAGAGAGAGUGGCCAGCCCGGCACAAACAAGAGCAAAGUGUCACACAAUACGAAAGUCUUUCAUUUCCUCCUUCCCCUCUUCUUAUUUUCCUUAUGAUAUGUCUGAGACCAAACUGUUGGGAAAGGGGCCAUUCUCUUUUACUAGUCAAAUGGGGCGGCAGGUAGCCUAGUGGUUAGAGCGUCGGACUAGCAACCGAAAGGUUGCAAGAUCGAAUCCCCAAGGUCGAAUCCCCGAGCUGACAAGGUAAAUAUCUGUCGUUCUGCCCCUGAACAAGGCAGUUAACCCACUGUACCUAGGCCGUCAAUGAAAAUAAGAACUUGUUCUUAACUGACUUUCCUAGUUAAAUAAAGGUAAAAUAAAAAAAUGAAUUAUCAUCUUUUUCUUGUAAAGAUAACGUCUCACCUUUUUGUUAAGUCUCUGCUUGUAAAGACAACCAGCUAACAUGAUUGCCAUCUUGUCUCAGAAAAAAAGCACAGUGAACUCCUUAUAAGGGAAAAGAGGACCUAUAUGGACCAACAAUAUCCUCUCGAGCUGUUCACGUAUGUCUUCUUUAGGACAACCCAGGUAUUUGCAUUCUAGAGGGGAUUCUUAAUGUUAGAAAAACAACGCUGGGUCUUGUCCGAGAGUCAAAGCUAACAAACAAGGGAGGAAAAAUGCGAGAAAAGAUUGUAUUUGACUGCAAGAAAGAGAAAUAAGUGGUUUUAGUACAGAGUGGUUGUAGUACAGGUUGAGGGUUUGUCGGAAAUGGCACCCUAUCCUCUAUGUAGUGCACUACUUUUGACCAAAGCCCUAUGCAGGUCCUGGUCAAAACUAGUGCACUACAUGGGGAAUAGGGUGCUUGAAGUGUGUUAUUUGAUUGUUCGAUGGAGUGUUGAGAAUUCUAAUUGCCCAUGGCCCAUGCCUGGAAGACCAGAGGAGAUGUGAAGUGUUACAUCACAAUGUCCACAAAACCUCUCCUUCUACUCAUCCUCAUACUCUUCCUCCUCCUCUCAUCUUGGUUUAAAUACCAACUCUCUGUUUUUUACUUUCUUCAAACAGUAACAUUUUUACAGGGAUACGUUUGUUAAUGAAUGCCCACAGUGUUUUGGCUCUUAGCCCUCUUCUGAAACUGUGGUUUACAUUUAUGAAGGACAAUCAUUUUUCUCAUUGGAGUGUGUUUUUACUCUAUCUAUCCCAAGCUCUUCUAUUCAGUUCAGUAUUACAGUUUUAAGCUCUUUGAUAUUUGGUAGCUUUCAUUGACUGUAAUGUGUAUACCCAUGAGAAGGAGAUAGGUUUAUGCCAUUACCAGCCAAAGAAUGACAUUCUCUCAAAAAUCUAGCAGCUAAACAACAGGACAGGACUUUGGAUAGGACAUGGAUAUUGUGCAUAUUUUUGGGGAAUGUUGUAGUACAGUUGAUUCCUGAUAAGUACACCUCUUAUAAGUGCUAAAUCACUGGUUAAGUGCACGUCGUCAGUACAGUCACACCAGUUGUAUUUUAGAAUUUGACUGUAGUUGGACUGAACAGUAAUUGUUCCCACAGCAACUAUAACCACAGUAACAGGAGAAAGUGUGAAUGGUUAAAGGUUAAGCGGAGUUAAGUGGUAGGGGUCAUUUUCAGGUAUAGCCUCAGGACAAGUCUGCUUAUCAACAACAACUUCACAACUUGAACCUACAGUACCUCAGUAGGUAAAAUAAAGCUUAGAAUCCUCUCCAAAUACCAAGGAACACUAAUUAUCUGAAAAGGCAAGACUUGUACCAGUAAUAAUCAAUGGAUCAUCUAGUAAUAUGACUUGUAAAGUACAGAAUAUUCACCCUGAUAAAGAGAAACUCUUGUUGAAGAAACUGCCUUGACGGUUCGGUAGACAGUGAUUUUAAUUUGAGUGAAGGUGUGAACAAGACAUUCUGAAUGGCUGACAGAAGAUAAAUGUUUUAUUGGAUAUCGCUAGAGUAUGAUAGUACAGUGUUGACAGCAGCAUUGAGUCAACAGUGUCAGCUUCAGUGUCGAUGUCACAAGUCAAACAUAGACCAAACAGCAAUGGGGGAAAAAAAACAUGUUUGUCAUACAGUAGGUAUACAAUACACCCUGUAAAAUGUUGGUUGCUAUACCUACUAAAUGUUUAGGAACAUAAUUAGUGUGUGACUUUCUUUUCAUAGCUUACUCUCCGUUAAUCAGAACCUCUACGAAACAGUUUUUGGGUGUGCGUCAGCUUAUUCCUUUUGUUAUACAGCAGGCAAAAGGAAAAUGUAAUCUGUCAAUUCAAAUGUGUUAUUUAUCUUCUAUUACACUUGCAUUGUACAUCCUUUUAUGACUUGUUUAGUAACUAAGCUGGUAAAGUAGGGUGACAUAUUUCAGUAGAGUUGUGUACGCUCUCAUUGAUAUUAUUAGUGUUGUAACUGAAAAGUGUUAAAAGAAUAUAAAAUAUUUCACAAGUAAAUCCUUUCAAAUGUUUUUACUGAAGGGACCACAGGCCUAUAAAUGUAAUUGUAUACUUCCAAGACGUUGCACCUCUUUCUGUCUCUAUCUCUCUUUCUUAAUUAGACAUGAAUAUACUGUAGUAGCCUAGUAUGUCAGUCACCAUACAUUACUACUGUAGUAACCUAGUAUCAGUCAGUCACCAGACAUUACUACUGUAGUAACCUAGUAUCAGUCACCAGACAUUACUACUGUAGUAACCUAGUAUCAGUCAGUCACCAGACAUUACUACUGUAGUAACCUAGUAUCAGUCAGUCACCAGACAUUACUACUGUAGUAACCUAGUAUCAGUCAGUCACCAGACAUUACUACUGUAGUAACCUAGUAUCAGUCACCAGACAUUACUACUGUAGUAACCUAGUAUCAGUCAGUCACCAGACAUUACUACUGUAGUAACCUAGUAUCAGUCAGUCACCAGACAUUACUACUGUAGUAACCUAGUAUCAGUCAGUCACCAGACAUUACUACUGUAGUAACCUAGUAUCAGUCAGUCACCAGACAUUACUACUGUAGUAACCUAGUAUCAGUCACCAGACAUUACUACUGUAGUAACCUAGUAUCAGUCAGUCACCAGACAUUACUAAACAUAGUUGUUGUUGAGCAAUAGCCAGGUCAGGUAGAUUGCAAACAGGGAUCACUGGUUUCCAUCGAAACAGAGAAAACAAAGUCUCUGUUUUAAGCCAAAGGAGUAUUUUUCUCCCAUUGCCCUCUCUGGUGCUCAAACAGUAAGACGUACCAUUUGUGGGCGAUGGUGCAGACAGGUCGUUCUUCAUUGGCGUCAAAAUUGGACAACAAUCCAUGUCCUGAGUACGUUGGGAAAUGACUUCAAAACCAGCCACUAGGGACAAAGUGAGUGCUAUUAUCAUCAAGUAGGCUUGGGUAAUCCCUUGACUCUGGAUCAGAAGGUUGGGUGUUUGAUUCCAGUUGUGGACACUGGUUUUUAUUUCUGGUUUCAACCCUUUCCCAAACCUUAACCAUUUGGAAUGAGUGCCUAAACUUAACCUUUAACUUUGAAAGUUGACGUUUGGAAAAAUGGAACGAUACAGAGCAGCAGGAGAACGUGGCUGAACAUCUAAUUUUGCUGUGAGACUGAGACCUUGUUGGAUGGUGUUGACUUGUGUGUGAUGUGUAAAAAAUAUAUAGAUAUUUUUUGAACAAUUAAGUAUGAAUCCACUCAACACAUCAUGUCCUUGUUAUGUAAAGUGAGGUGAGUGAGUCUAUUAAGUAUGAAUCAAGUCAAUGAAUCAUAACCUUAUAUAAAGUGAGUAAGUCAUAAAUGUUUAAAUGGCUUAGACGUCGGAAGCUCUCAAAAUAUUCUCAGUCUGGCACUCGCACGCACGCACACACACACACACACGUUAAAAUCGUUAUGUGCUGCGUCUUUCUCUUCUAGAUCUGUCUAUUUUGGGAUGAUGGCAGUGGAAUCCUCUAUAGUGUGUUGUCACAGUGCCUGGAAUGUUUUUCCGACCAAUCCAAACUGAGUCUGGAGUUAAUGAGGUGGUGGUAUGAGUGUGGGUUUUGUCUCGUCAGUGAGUGACUGCACAUCCACAUCGUAGUGUAAAACGCCAUAGCAAGCCAUUAGCUGCGAGGUGUAGAAGCACAUUGAGGGAAUUUCAGAAGGUAGUGUCCAUGCUACAGGUCUAUACCUCUGUGGUUAACUAUGAGGCUCAGCAUUCAACAGUAAUUACUUUGCCACCAUUGGCCUAUUUAUUGCCUUACCUCCUUACUCCAUUUCCACACACUGUAUAUUUUUCUAUAGUGUUAUUGACUGUACGUUUGUUUAUCCCAUGUGUAACUCUGUGUUGUUGUUUUUGUCGCACUGCUUUGCUUUAUCUUGGCCAGGUCGCAGUUGUAAAUGACAACUUGUUCUCAACUGGCCUACCUGGUUACAUAAAGGUGAAAUUAAAAUAAGAAAAAAACACUGAUGUAAGAGUAUCACGUAGAUACGCUGAAGCUAUCCCGGAUGGUCAUCUAAACCUGGUUUGAAAAGUCUAGCAUGUUUGGUUGUGAGCCAUAUAGCGAGCAGGUGUAAACCAGAAUACCAUGUUGUGAUCGUACAAUAAAGACAUUUUAUCAUGAA
Salmo salar (Atlantic salmon) is the source of this 6933-nucleotide non-coding RNA. The record is from RefSeq and is a predicted model, not a curated record. Lineage: Eukaryota; Metazoa; Chordata; Actinopteri; Salmoniformes; Salmonidae.